CUUUCCUAAAACACAAAUCUGAGCCUCUUACCAACUUGCAGAGAAACUUUCUUCCUUGUCAAUACCAUAAGGUUCAAUUGCUCUGUCAUGGAAGCUACGGUACCAAUCACGCCAGCCAGCUUCCUCAAGCUACUUAUGGUUUUCUGAUACAACAACAGUUGAGUGGAAAACAAGUCACAAGCCAGAGAGUAGAAUGGUUCCCAGAGAGCCGAUAAAAUCCAUAAGAAAGGACAUCAGGAGACAAUUCUUCUGACUGCCAACCAAAGAGAAUCAACACUACAUUCUGCCCUGAAUCCAAAGCACGGCUUUUGGAAAAUAAAGAUUUAUGAUCUGGAUAGAGGCAGCGAUGAAUCACUUGGCGAUACGUGUUUUCUGGCACAACUUGUCAAAAGUAACGAGCCAUGGUCUGUUCCAGAGUUCAGGUGGUUGUACAUGUUCUCUGUGAAAUAUGGAAUAGAAGGGAACACAAUUUGUCUGAGCCUCUGCACAGCUGUCCUCCAAUUACCGAG
This 509-nucleotide long non-coding RNA is filed under the name Homo sapiens (human). RNAcentral describes it as "HSALNT0159312". The record is from RNAcentral. Lineage: Eukaryota; Metazoa; Chordata; Mammalia; Primates; Hominidae.